AAGGAGCGCCGCCAUUAACCUGCGCCCUGCCGCUCUUUCUGCGCCUCUGCGCUGAGCCUGAGGCACCGCCCCAGAGGUGAGCAGCGCCGAGGGCCAAGCAAGACCUAAACUUUCACAUUUUUAAUAUUAAGCCUUUUUUUCUCCACAUCAACAAAGUGCUUGAGCGAACCACUAAAGGAAGCGCACUGUAACCUCGGGAAAGGCGAAUAAAGCUCCGCACACAGCGGGGCAGAAGCUGCUCACCUGGCUCCCUUAACGCCCCAGCGCCUCCCGCCCACCGCCGCCUCAGCACCUGGGGGCGGCCCCGCGCCGCCCACAGCCCCGCCCCCUCGCGCGCAGCCGCACCCGCGCUAGCACGUGACGCCGAGUUGGGCUCCUAUUGGUCAUGGGGAGGGGCGGGGAGAUGGCCGCUGUAUAAAGCGCAGCGCGGGGAGCGCUCGGCCUUUCUGUCGGCGGAGCGAGGGGAGGACCUGUGCAGCGACUGUCCGCGGUUUGGAGCGGCCUGGUAAAUAAAAGUUGUGUGCAGCUCGCUAA
This is a long non-coding RNA of Pogoniulus pusillus (Red-fronted tinkerbird), 534 nucleotides long. RefSeq lists it as uncharacterized. The transcript is spliced from 2 exons. Lineage: Eukaryota; Metazoa; Chordata; Aves; Piciformes; Lybiidae. The record is from RefSeq and is a predicted model, not a curated record.